This 477-nucleotide ribosomal RNA is filed under the name Pseudomonas sp. Z3S-230. RNAcentral's name for it is "bacterial SSU rRNA". It matches the Rfam family "Bacterial small subunit ribosomal RNA", at positions 25 to 496 of the family's 1533-position model. The record is from RNAcentral. Lineage: Bacteria; Pseudomonadati; Pseudomonadota; Gammaproteobacteria; Pseudomonadales; Pseudomonadaceae.
CAGAUUGAACGCUGGCGGCAGGCCUAACACAUGCAAGUCGAGCGGAUGAAGAGGAGCUUGCUCCCUGAUUCAGCGGCGGACGGGUGAGUAAUGCCUAGGAAUCUGCCUGGUAGUGGGGGACAACGUUUCGAAAGGAACGCUAAUACCGCAUACGUCCUACGGGAGAAAGCAGGGGACCUUCGGGCCUUGCGCUAUCAGAUGAGCCUAGGUCGGAUUAGCUAGUUGGUGAGGUAAUGGCUCACCAAGGCGACGAUCCGUAACUGGUCUGAGAGGAUGAUCAGUCACACUGGAACUGAGACACGGUCCAGACUCCUACGGGAGGCAGCAGUGGGGAAUAUUGGACAAUGGGCGAAAGCCUGAUCCAGCCAUGCCGCGUGUGUGAAGAAGGUCUUCGGAUUGUAAAGCACUUUAAGUUGGGAGGAAGGGUUGUAGAUUAAUACUCUGCAAUUUUGACGUUACCGACAGAAUAAGCACCGG